UUCUCCUUCCCUUUCUUUCAUUCACAGAAACUCAGCUAAUGGUUCUGAAGCUCCUUUGUUUCUUUCUCCCUUUCUCCCUCCCUUUCUUUCAUUCACAGAAACUCAGCCAAAAAACCCUAGCACUGUAAGUCUACACCACCGCCGCAAGGAGUGGCAUACUGCCGCCGUCCGUCCGUCCGUCUAUCUAGCUUUCCUCGUACUCCAAGUCUUUAACCCCUGUUCGCUGUCACCGAUCGCAGCUGCUUCCUCGAACUCGGCGUCCGUCGUCUUUGUCUGCUUAGCCGCGCUUCCGCCGCCGUUUAUUUGCCGUUCACGUUCGCGUCUUCGUUCAGCCGUCGUCUUCGUUCGCGGUCUUCGCCGUUUAAGUUUGCUCGGCGUUUACCAUUCGCGUUCACUCGCCGUUCACCGUUCGUGUUCGCAUUCGCAUUCGUCUGGAAGCCACGUUGCUCUGCUUCAAAAUCUGCGUCCAACCCGCGCGCUCCACCUAGCCGUCAAACUGCUCUCUUUGUCGUCGCGAUGAAAAGGAGAAAGCAAGAGGAUAAAGUGAAGAGGGUGCAACAGCAGGAGGAAUGUUUUAAGCAUGUUAAGCUUGGUCGUCGGAUGAAGCUUUGAUCAUGGCUCUCUUUCUCCUUCUGUGCCCUUUUUCUUCUACACCCCUCUAUUUGUUUUAGGGUAGGGUUCAGAGAGAGGGAUAGUGGUUGAGAUUUAUGGGAGUGAUUGGAAUAUGGGUCAAAUCGAAAAGCUGGAUUUGUGGCCAUUGAGCUGUUUUUCGCUCUCAUGAUGGCAAUUGUUAGGUGAUCCAAUAGCUUCCACAGGUGCUGUCCUUUUUCUUGCAGAUAUGAUAGAUAGAUUAGAUCACUACAUGAUAGAACUCCAAAUUAGAAGAAAGAAUGUUCUGGCAAUGAAAAAAUUGGAGGCAACUAAAGCAUUGGAAGAAGAAAGAGACAAAUUGAAAGUGGAGCUUAUACAGCUAGAAUUUGAUCUCAAGUCUAAAUAGAAGAUAUGUUGCAAUUUAUGUAUAUAAAAAGGUUUACCUGGAUGAGAGUGCUCAAAGUGGAUAGCCUUAAUUCUAGAAUUCAGGAACUUGAAGCUCAAUUAGUUAAAGAGAAUGCGGAGUGUAAAAGUGGAUCCUCAAAAGUUAAUGCUGUACUAGAGUUUGUUCUGGAGUUGCGGACUUGUGGAGAAGACUUUGUGUCCUAGAUGUACAAUGGAUUUACUGGCACUAUUCUAAAAGGGUGUGGUUUAGUGGCAGCAACCGAAAGAAGCCAUUCGAUAAGGUGCAAAACUUGUGUGGGCCCACCUUCUAUUAAUCGUUAUAGUGACAAUGAUGGGCUUCCUUAACUUCAAGCAGCAUUAAUUAGAAAGGUAAGCAAAAACGUUCUAGACUCUAUCUUUUUCUUACAACAUAUAAAUGUGUGUUAACUGGUUGGAACUUGUUUUUGGAAUGAAACUUGGUUUUCAAUAAGGGUCAAGUGCGCAUUAAGUUACAAUGCUUUUUAGCAGUUGAAAUUCCUGAGAACUGGUGAUUCUUUUCUAUUAACUCCUAUGCUUUCGAUUGUAGUUGUGAGAUGUAAACAAUUUGCACAAGUCGUAGGUAAUGGUUACUACAGGUGCCAAUUAGGUGAUCAAUCUUCAUAAGAUAUAAAUGUGUUUUAUAAUUUUAUAAUUUUUUUAUGACAAAAAAAUAUAACACACACGGUUAGUGAAGAUAAUGCACUUUAUAAGCAUUUCAGUUUCCAUUUCAUACCUUUAUGUUUAGAUGUAUAAUGUAUUUUUUCCUUCUUGGCUUUUCUCCGUUUGAACUUGGAAAGGAGCAUAGUUGGGGAGAGAUUUUUGAUGGUAAUGAAUUGGUGGUCAAAUCCAGCAUCAAUGAGGUAAUUUAUGUUAAGGAAGGCAACGACUUCCCAUGGUUUCUUCUCACGGAUUUCCAUAAUUUGUGUCUGUGAGGUGGGUAAUUAACAGUAGUUUUGAAUCAUUUUAAUUCUUUGUUGAAUUCCGUCUCCAUGAAGAGAGAUUUUUUUCGAUUUUCUGUUAGAUUCUCCAUUUUCGGUAUGUAAUGAUUUGGUUAAGGUUUGCAAUUGUGUUUUUUAUUUCCCACUAGGGUUUUUGUGCAGUUAAAUCUAAGUUUUGUAAUUUUCCGUUGAUUUUAAUAGUCAAUUUUGUAUAAUGUACACUGAACCAUUGAGCUAAUAAUAUGCUCAUGCACAUUUGAUUUUGGUUA
Molecule: long non-coding RNA, 2221 nt
Organism: Arachis duranensis
Lineage: Eukaryota; Viridiplantae; Streptophyta; Magnoliopsida; Fabales; Fabaceae
Exons: 8
Source: RefSeq, a predicted model, not a curated record